Molecule: long non-coding RNA, 4390 nt
Filed under: Brassica napus (rape)
Lineage: Eukaryota; Viridiplantae; Streptophyta; Magnoliopsida; Brassicales; Brassicaceae
Description: long non-coding RNA (BNAP_LNC013117)
Source: RNAcentral
UACCUGAACUCUCUGCACGACAUCAGCGAUGAGCCAGAGUGCACGAUACCUUUCAACUUCGACUUUGAGCAGCACGCACUCUCAGAGGAGCAGAUGAAGGAGCUCAUAUACCGUGAAGCGCUUGCAUUCAAUCCAGAGUAUCAGCCAGCAAUAGCUUGAAUGGGAUCAGGUUUGGUUUUGAUCUUGACAAGAUUCUUGAAAGGAGGAAACAUCAUUGUUUCUCUUCUGUGUAUACUUGUGAGAGAUGCUUGAAGGGGGUAUGUGGCUCAAACGUUAAGUCUCGGUAAGGUUUUUUUUUUUCUUUCUUUUUGUCUUCUACGUAUUGUAAUUUACCCUCAUUUCUUGUUACAAGUAUUAGGACAUAAGUUAAGAUCGUCUCAGAAAUAGUUUUCAUGUAUUACAAGAUGUUCGUUUCCAGCAAUAUCAAAUUUUUUUUUGCUUUGUAAAACAUAAGGAAUAUGAGAUUAUUGUAAUUUUGAAUUCCAAAAAGAUCAAAUAAGAACUAUUAAUAUUGCAGAGAAGAUGAGAAUGAUUGAAUGAAGCAACUGUUGACCUCAUCUUCACUUUGGCUUGAGUGUCUGCCUCUGUAUUACGCGACCUUAAGGAUAGUUCAGAACUACAGAACUAAAUUAUACCUCGCAAAAUCGAAAAAGGCACAUAACUAAACCCAAGAAUAUGCGACCUUAAUUGCCCCAAGUAGCUUACUAUUCUCAAGUGAUAUUCACAUAUCUAUUCAGUAAGAGACAUUUGGAACCUUAGACGAUAUCAGCUUCAAGUGAGAUCUCAUCAAAAAUAGAGUUUUAAGAAAUAACUACCCAGAUUCUUACGAAACUAGCCAUUAUCUUUGGUAUGGUUGAAAUUAUCAUUAUAGUUUUAACUUAGUAGUUACUAGUUAGUAAUUAUGAAAAAACAAUGUGUGUAUAUAUAGGUAUAAUUUAGUUUAUUGAUGAUGAUUUAGCGUUGUUUACAAAUCAUAUGUAAUGGAAUUAUUUCAAAACAAAGCAUUAACGGAAACAAUUUACCGGUAAAUACGUAAUUGACAAUUUUACCAAAAUUAAGAUUCUGUUUUAAAUGAGAGCAAAGAGAAAUCAGAUAAUUAACCAUGUACAUUCCAUAACAAUAAAUAAUCAACCAAAGCAAUACAAUAGAAACAAUCCAAUAUUAGCCGAUGAUUACUAAUUAGUAACAAGAUUCAAGUUCUUAUUUUUAGAAAUAGAUGUAUUCUAAUAGUUCAUGGAAACAUAUUAACUCUAUAUAAGCAUAUACAGUAGAGCAACACUUUUCAUCGUGUCUUAUUCAUUAGUAGCACAGAAUCCUUACUUUUAUAUACCCUAAACAAAAUAAGAAGAUGACUUGCAUUGCUUCUACGUUUAAGGCUUUGUGUUUUUCUUUCUUGUUCGUCGCCGCCGUAGCAAGUCGUCCGACCAACAGGCCAAAGGUUUUUAACGUCCAACGUUAUGGUGCCAAAGCUGACGGAAAAACUGAUAACGCCAAGGUAUAUAUACAUAACCAAUAUAGAAACACUCAAAAAUAAACAUUUUACCAACUUUUUUUGUUUAACUUGUUCAAAAUUAGGCGUUCACAAGCAUAUGGAACAGCGCAUGCACAAGGAAAGGUGGUAAUAGUAAAAUCUACGUGCCCAAAGGAACAUUUUAUCUCAGUGGUCUAGAGUUCGUAGGGCCAUGCGUGAAUCAGAUUGAAUUCGUUAAACGAUGGAACCUUGUUGGCUCCUGCAAACCCUAGGGACAUUAAGCAGGACAUAUGGAUCAACUUCAGGUACAUUAACAAUCUUAUUAUCUCCGGUGCCGGUACACUCGACGGCCAAGGGGAAGAGUCUUGGCCACUAAAUGACUGCCACAAAAAUCCCAAUUGUCCUAAGCUAGCUAUGGUACCACUUCUUAAUCCUUUUACAUAUUGCUUUAUUAUAUGAUUUUACAAUGAAAAUUAUGUAAUUCAGUUAUUUUCUAUUACACGGUGAAUUUGUAGAUUUAAUUAUUUAGAUACAAAACGUUAUGAAAACGAAUAUCAUUUUGAAGAAGGUAAUAUCCACAUAGCUACAUUUUAGAGCUUGCCCAUUUGUAAAGUAUUUCAAUAUGGUGUCUGUCUCCACUAAAAAUCAUAUUUUAAGUUAUUGAUUAUGUUACAAUAUUUAUAGAGAGUCGCAGUACCUAAAACCCAGUAGAGUAUCUACUAAAAUAUCACAGAAGCUAAGUUCUUAUUUGAAAAACUAUUGUUUCACUUUUCUAUUUUUAUUUCUUUUGUUUUAAUUUUUAGAUACCCAAAGAGUGUUUUUGAUUCAGGUCACCUAAUGUCUUACUAAACUUAAUUAUUCUCACAGACCAUGGGAUUUGCAUUCGUGAACAACUCAAGAAUCAAUGGGAUAACAUCAAUCAACAGCAAAAUGGGACACUUCAACUUCUUCUCUGUCCAUCACUUCAACAUCACCAAUGUCACUAUAACAGCUCCCGGCGAUAGCCCCAACACCGACGGGUUAAAGUUCGGGUUCUGUAGCAACAUUAACAUCUCCAACACACACAUUGGUACGGGAGACGACUGUAUCGCCAUCCUUUCUGGAACCACCAACAUGGAUAUCUCUAACGUCACCUGUGGUCCCGGACAUGGGAUCAGUGUCGGAAGCUUAGGGAAGAACAAAGAAGAGAAGGACGUUAAUGGCUUAACCGUAAGAGACAUAGUCUUUAACGGCACUAGCGAUGGUAUUCGGAUCAAAACUUGGGAAUCUUCAGCUUCGAAGAUAUUGGUUUCUAACUUCGUGUACGAAAAUAUUCAAAUGAUUAACGUUGGAAACCCUAUCAACAUCGACCAGAAGUAUUGUCCUCACCCACCCUGUGAAAAGAAGGUGAACUCUCUACGCGAGAUACAAACUUAUAUAAUUAUUUUCUCUUCUUAUUACAACAAAAAAAAGUUGUUCAUUAUUUUUUCAGGGAGAGUCACACGUUCAAAUCCAAGACCUUAAGUUAAAGAACAUAUAUGGAACAUCGACGAACAAAGUGGCGGUGAAUCUACAAUGUAGCAAGAGCUUUCCGUGCAAGAAGGUUGAGCUAAUUGACAUUAACCUAGAGCAUAAGGGAGUCGAGGGUGGUCCUUCCACUGCGGUAUGUGAGAAUGUUGACGGUUCUGCACGUGGCAAGAUGGUUCCUCAGCAUUGUCUGAACUGAUUUGACGACCCAUAGGAGCAAUGACCGUGCGUUGUACUACUUUAUAUUUUCCGUGUUUUUGUAUCAUUUAUAAUCUCUGUGUCUUUGCUUCUUCUUCUUUCUUUUUCUGCUAGUUUAUGAAAGUUUUUGAUUGGUGCAAUAAUAAAGAAGUGAAUACACUUGUGUUUUUUUGUCUUUGGUCUAUUUUUUUAUUGUUUCAUAGACAAAAAAAAAAAGAGUACAAUCUUAAGUCUUGUAAGGUUUUAUUUUCUCUCUUUUUGUCUUCUAUGUAUUGUAAUUUACCCUCAUUUCUUGUUGCAAGUAUUAAGACAUAAGUUAAGAUCGUCUCAGAAAUAGUUUUCGUGCAUUACAAGACGUUCUUUUCCAGCAUAUAGUAUCAAAAGAUCUUAUUGUUUAAGAUGCGAGUCUCAGAAUAAUGUGUAUAUCAUCUCCAACUAAUUGGACGAUUGCUAUCUUUGUGCUAUCAGAUUGUUGCAAUCAGAGACAUAAUACCACCACCGCUUAGAACCGGUUUCAAUGAUGUUUACAUCGCUUAUGAGCUAAUGGACACUGAUCUCCAUCAGAUCAAUAUAGCCAAGGCUUAUCCAAAGAACAUUGCCACGUUACCUUUAAGUUCUUGAGAUUGUUUUUUUUUUUUCACCUAUUAGCCAGACUUGAAACCUGUAAUAAUUUUCAUCUUUCUUCUUGUGUGCAGUACUUUCUUUACCAGAUCCUCCGUGGAUUGAAGUACAUUCACUCCGCAAAUGCUAACGUUUGAUCCGAUUCCUAGACGGAGAAUCUCAGGUCAGUGCACACUCUAUAAGGAGUUAUAUUGACUCUUGAAUACGUUAGUCCUCACAUUUUUUUGAUUCUUGAUUCUUGAUUGCAGUUUUAGACGCGCUGGCACAUCCAUACCUGAACUCUCUACACGACAUUAGCGAUGAGACAGAGUGCACGAUACCUUUCAACUUCGACUUUGAGCAGCACGCACUCUCAGAGGAGCAGAUGAAGGAGCUCAUACACCGUGAAGCGCUUGCAUUCAAUCCAGAGUAUCAGCCAGCAAUAGCUUGAAUGGGAGCAGGUUUGGUUUUGAUCUUGACAAGAUUCUUGAAAGGAGGAAACAACCAUUGUUUCUCUUCUGUGUAUACUCGUGAGAGAUGCUUGAAGGGGGUAUGUGAGGAUCAAUGUGGCUCAAACGUUAAGUCUCGGUAAGGUUUUUUUUUCUCUCUCUUUUU